CCUACGGGCGGCAGCAGUGAGGAAUAUUGGUCAAUGGGCGUAAGCCUGAACCAGCCAAGUCGCGUGAAGGAUGACGGCCCUACGGGUUGUAAACUGCUUUUAUACGGGAAUAACGCGCCUUACGUGUAGGGAUUUGCAUGUACCGUAUGAAUAAGCACCGGCUAAUUCCGUGCCAGCAGCCGCGGUAAUACGGAAGGUCCGGGCGUUCUCCGGAUUUAUUGGGUUUAAAGGGGGCGUAGGCCGGUUGUCAAGCCUGCUGUGAAAUGUCCGGGCUCAACCCGGGCCUUGCAGCGCGAACUGGCGUGCUUGAGUCCGCGGAAGGCAGGCGGAAUUCGUCGUGUAGCGGUGAAAUGCUUAGAUAUGACGAAGAACCCCGAUUGCGAAGGCAGCUUGCUGCAGCGGAACUGACGCUGAUGCUCGAAAGCGCGGGUAUCGAACAGGAUUAGAUACCCUUGUAGUC
Molecule: ribosomal RNA, 460 nt
Filed under: uncultured bacterium
Lineage: Bacteria
Description: partial 16S ribosomal RNA
Rfam family: Bacterial small subunit ribosomal RNA
Source: RNAcentral